AAUCAACGCUGGCGGCGCGCUUAACACAUGCAAGUCGAGCGAGAAAGUGGAGCAAUCCAUGAGUACAGCGGCGUACGGGUGAGUAACACGUGGGUCAUCUACCUUUUUAGUGGGGAAUAACCCUGGGAAACCGGGGCUAAUACCGCAUAAUCCUGUGAAGGGAAAGCAGCAAUGCGCUGAAAGAGGAGCCCGCGGCCGAUUAGCUAGUUGGUGAGGUAACGGCUCACCAAGGCGACGAUCGGUAGCCGGCCUGAGAGGGCACACGGCCACACUGGCACUGAAACACGGGCCAGACUCCUACGGGAGGCAGCAGUGGGGAAUCUUGCACAAUGGAGGCAACUCUGAUGCAGCGACGCCGCGUGAGCGAUGAAGCCCCUCGGGGUGUAAAGCUCUUUCGGCAGGGACGAUAAUGACGGUACCUGAAGAAGAAGCUGCGGCUAACUACGUGCC
RNAcentral lists this ribosomal RNA (450 nucleotides) under uncultured bacterium. Its description in RNAcentral is "bacterial SSU rRNA". It matches the Rfam family "Bacterial small subunit ribosomal RNA", at positions 32 to 509 of the family's 1533-position model. The record is from RNAcentral.